CUUUUAGUUAAAUGAAUAGUUGGCUCAAAUACUACUUGAAAUAUAGACUCAUUAGUCUCAACAAGAGAAAUCUUGAAUUUAAAUUCCAUUAUCUUGGCUAAAAUUUCUUUUAAUUAAAUCUUGGAGAAACACACAUUUCACAAAUAUGAUUUAUAAUUUUUUUCCUUCAACUUUUGUAUUUUCAGGAGUUCUCAAAUUUUGCUAACAAUUUUUUUUAAAAAGUCUUUCAUGAACUAAUGAUUAUAAUUUGUUAAUUACCUGGAGUAGCAUUUUACAUGUCAUAGAUAUGAUUUGGCUAGCUUAACCAGCAUUCUAGAAAAUAGACUAGAGGCAUAUAGAGAAUGGAAAUGUUCUUGUCUUCACGUUCAUACUUUUUCUUUGCACCUCUGAGAUAUACGGCUUCUGUUAUUCAGCCACAAUCUGCUAUUUCCAAUUCAUCCCUAAUGAUAAAACGGUGGUAGCUUUUGGUGAGAUCUUCUCAAGAUCUCAUGUUGUUCAGUCAUUAGCAAAAAAGAAAGCAAGAAAAUGUGAAAGGUACUGAGAUAAGUCCAGUGUCUACAGCUGGUUUCAGCAAUUUCAACUUGUGCAAGACCCCGAGCUUGUGAAAGAAACCCAAGAAUCUCUGAACAGGAUGUAAUCAAACUCCAAAUCUGCUGAGAAACACUGCAAAAAUGACUUCAGCUGCCAAAAAUAAUAAUGUCGUUUACAAGCAGCUCUUCCUAUGUCUAAGGAAGGACUAGCCGCACAGGAGUUUACGCUGGCUUUGGAGGAACAAACUAAGGAAAGGGCAAGUCCUGCCUCCCCCACCCUAACACACACAGUAUCAGAAUCCACUGGAAGCUGUGGCCCACUCCCAAGGUGCUGGCAAUACCGAGGGAGAGUCAUAUCCACAACAAUCUGAACGGGAACAUUUGGGACUGAGGAUUUUUAAAUGCCCCCGAUAAAUGAGGAGGCAACCUGUCAAGCUAGUUGGAAGCAGACUGAGUAAGGGACCUAGAGAGACAAAUCUGAAAGCAGUAUGUUUUGAUCCAGAAGCAGCUGGAAAUGGCAGCAACCUGAUAUGGAGCAAUCGAGAACUGAAGGUUUAUUUUGAAGGAGAGGCUAUGACCAACUGUGAGACUGAGUGAUGGCAGCUGAGAAUAAGUGCAAAUACAAUCAGUAGUGACCUCUGGUAGGAAGUUACUGAGGACCUGAGGACCUUUCUUCUUUCAUGUCUCUUUCUGUCACCACAUUUGUACCGCAUCCAUAAGUUGCAAUACUAUCUAUGGAGGAGGGAAACAAGCUCUUCAAUUUAUUUUUAUUCUUAAUAAUAGCUUCUGAGCUUCCAUGAUUUGAAAAUACAAUGAUAAAAUGGCUCUUUCAGCAAACAAUAUAUUUCAAAGCCCAGUUGUAUUUUGGACAGGCAAGAAUGCCUCAUCAUUAAAUGGCCUUUAAUAUGCAUCACCUCUCCAGUCUGCCAUCUCUUUUUACUAGUUGUUCUCUCUUUUCUAUAGUUGUAUAGCUAUGAGCAAAGCAAUUUCAUUGUCCCUUGUUCCUAGUUCCUACCAAUGUUAUCAUUUCACUAAUAUACAAGGGUAGACCAUAGAUGCUGCUCAUUAAAUAUUGUUGAACAAUCUAUAAUUAUACUAUUUUAUAUUUGAAUAUCACCCUUUACAAGUUUGUAAAGCACUUUAACAUAACUUAUUUAAUUAAACUUCACUG
Molecule: long non-coding RNA, 1701 nt
Organism: Phyllostomus discolor (pale spear-nosed bat)
Lineage: Eukaryota; Metazoa; Chordata; Mammalia; Chiroptera; Phyllostomidae
Exons: 3
Source: RefSeq, a predicted model, not a curated record